Molecule: non-coding RNA, 80 nt
Organism: Amylostereum chailletii
Lineage: Eukaryota; Fungi; Basidiomycota; Agaricomycetes; Russulales; Stereaceae
Source: the annotation of a GenBank genome assembly
GUCCCUGUCGAUUAGUGGUCAAAUCAUCACGUUGUGGUCGCAGCUCCGCGAAGCCGCCGGCUCGAAUCCGGCCAGGGACA